UGCAGUCGAGCGAACUGAUUAGAAGCUUGCUUCUAUGACGUUAGCGGCGGACGGGUGAGUAACACGUGGGCAACCUGCCUGUAAGACUGGGAUAACUUCGGGAAACCGAAGCUAAUACCGGAUAGGAUCUUCUCCUUCAUGGGAGAUGAUUGAAAGAUGGUUUCGGCUAUCACUUACAGAUGGGCCCGCGGUGCAUUAGCUAGUUGGUGAGGUAACGGCUCACCAAGGCAACGAUGCAUAGCCGACCUGAGAGGGUGAUCGGCCACACUGGGACUGAGACACGGCCCAGACUCCUACGGGAGGCAGCAGUAGGGAAUCUUCCGCAAUGGACGAAAGUCUGACGGAGCAACGCCGCGUGAGUGAUGAAGGCUUUCGGGUCGUAAAACUCUGUUGUUAGGGAAGAACAAGUACGAGAGUAACUGCUCGUACCUUGACGGUACCUAACCAGAAAGCCACGGCUAACUACGUGCCAGCAGCCGCGGUAAUACGUAGGUGGCAAGCGUUAUCCGGAAUUAUUGGGCGUAAAGCGCGCGCAGGCGGUUUCUUAAGUCUGAUGUGAAAGCCCACGGCUCAACCGUGGAGGGUCAUUGGAAACUGGGGAACUUGAGUGCAGAAGAGAAAAGCGGAAUUCCACGUGUAGCGGUGAAAUGCGUAGAGAUGUGGAGGAACACCAGUGGCGAAGGCGGCUUUUUGGUCUGUAACUGACGCUGAGGCGCGAAAGCGUGGGGAGCAAACAGGAUUAGAUACCCUG
This 751-nucleotide ribosomal RNA is filed under the name Priestia sp. RNAcentral's name for it is "bacterial SSU rRNA". It matches the Rfam family "Bacterial small subunit ribosomal RNA", at positions 56 to 789 of the family's 1533-position model. Lineage: Bacteria; Bacillati; Bacillota; Bacilli; Caryophanales; Bacillaceae. The record is from RNAcentral.